GCUUAGGUUUCUCGUCUUAGGAUCAUCUGGGGUCAUUCGUACUCGUCCGCGAGAGGUGAAAUUCUUGGACCGGACGAAGACGAUCAGCAGCGAAAGCAUCUGUCAGGGAUGUUUUCUGCGACAAAGGACGAAGGUCAGGGUAUCGAAGACGAUUAGAUACCGUCGUAGUCCUGACUGUAAACUAUGCCGACUUGGGUCUUGCAGAGUAAUUACUUUGUGAGACCACACAGAAAUGAAAGUGUAUGGGUUCUGGGGGUAGUAUGGACACAAGUCUGAAACUUGAAGGAAUUGACGGAAGAGCACCAUAAGACGUGGAGCUUGCGGCUUAAUUUGACUCAACGCGGGAAAACUUACCAGGUCAAGACAUGGGCGUGAUUGACAGGCUAAUGACCUUUCUCGAUUCCUUGGAUGGUGGUGCAUGGUCGCACUUAGUUGGUGCAGUGAUUUGUCAGGUUUAUUCCGGUAACGAACGAGACCUCGGCCUUGUAACUAGCUUUACUGCUGCUUACAGGGACAAUGUCGGCUACGUCAAGGAAGUUCGAGGCAAUUGCAGAUCUGGAAUGCCCUUAGAUGUCCUGGGUCGCACGCGUGCUACAAUGACGCCACGAGCGAGUUUACGUGAUGAAAGUCACGUAAAAUCAGC
Molecule: ribosomal RNA, 643 nt
Filed under: uncultured freshwater eukaryote
Lineage: Eukaryota
Description: bacterial SSU rRNA
Rfam family: Eukaryotic small subunit ribosomal RNA
Source: RNAcentral